Molecule: ribosomal RNA, 431 nt
Filed under: uncultured bacterium
Lineage: Bacteria
Description: partial 16S ribosomal RNA
Rfam family: Bacterial small subunit ribosomal RNA
Source: RNAcentral
AACGAACGCUGGCGGCAGGCUUAACACAUGCAAGUCGAGCGCCCCGCCAGGGGAGCGGCAGACGGGUGAGUAACGCGUGGGAACGUACCUUUUGGUUCGGAACAACUCCGGGAAACUGGAGCUAAUACCGGAUAAGCCCUAACGGGGAAAGAUUUAUCGCCGAAAGAUCGGCCCGCGUCUGAUUAGCUAGUUGGUGAGGUAACGGCUCACCGAGGCGACGAUAAGUAGCUGGUCUGAGAGGAUGAUCAGCCACACUGGGACUGAGACACGGCCCAGACUCCUACGGGAGGCAGCAGUGGGGAAUAUUGGACAAUGGGCGCAAGCCUGAUCCAGCCAUGCCGCGUGAGUGAUGAAGGCCUUAGGGUUGUAAAGCUCUUUUGUCCGGGAAGAUAAUGACUGUACCGGAAGAAUAAGCCCCGGCUAACUUCGUG